This 693-nucleotide ribosomal RNA is filed under the name Microvirga sp. RNAcentral's name for it is "bacterial SSU rRNA". It matches the Rfam family "Bacterial small subunit ribosomal RNA", at positions 84 to 812 of the family's 1533-position model. Lineage: Bacteria; Pseudomonadati; Pseudomonadota; Alphaproteobacteria; Hyphomicrobiales; Methylobacteriaceae. The record is from RNAcentral.
CUUCGGGGUGAGUGGCAGACGGGUGAGUAACGCGUGGGAACGUGCCCUUCAGUUCGGAAUAACCCAGGGAAACUUGGGCUAAUACCGGAUACGUGCGAGAGCAGAAAGAUUUAUCGCUGAAGGAUCGGCCCGCGUCUGAUUAGCUAGUUGGUAGGGUAAUGGCCUACCAAGGCGACGAUCAGUAGCUGGUCUGAGAGGAUGAUCAGCCACAUUGGGACUGAGACACGGCCCAAACUCCUACGGGAGGCAGCAGUGGGGAAUAUUGGACAAUGGGCGCAAGCCUGAUCCAGCCAUGCCGCGUGAGUGAUGAAGGCCUUAGGGUUGUAAAGCUCUUUCGUCCGGGACGAUAAUGACGGUACCGGAAGAAGAAGCCCCGGCUAACUUCGUGCCAGCAGCCGCGGUAAUACGAAGGGGGCUAGCGUUGUUCGGAAUCACUGGGCGUAAAGGGCGCGUAGGCGGCUUUGUAAGUCGGGGGUGAAAGCCUGUGGCUCAACCACAGAAUUGCCUUCGAUACUGCAUGGCUUGAGACCGGAAGAGGUUAGUGGAACUGCGAGUGUAGAGGUGAAAUUCGUAGAUAUUCGCAAGAACACCAGUGGCGAAGGCGGCUGACUGGUCCGGUUCUGACGCUGAGGCGCGAAAGCGUGGGGAGCAAACAGGAUUAGAUACCCUGGUAGUCCACGCCGUAAACGAUGA